AAUAUUUAAGUGGUGACUUCUGCUAUUUAUUCAAUCCAGUUUGAUUCUUAUCUAAAAGUUGUGGGACCGCCCAAUGGCCGGACCCUACGGGCACUGAUACCAUUUUAACUUUUUUACAUAUUCUUUCCUUUGUCUUGUAAAGAGGUAACUCACAUACCUAUGCCUUAAAUUUAGCUCUAACCCUCAACUUGGGGCAGCAGAAGCUCUGACUGCCCAUGGGUCCUGUCCCCAUGGUAUUCCAUACUAUUCUCUAAAUAAAAGAGCACUACUGCCAGAUCUUAAGAGUCUAAGAAAUCUUUCUUUUGACUCCUGGGCUCACCGACCCGCAUCACAGGGUCCCACAGCAGCCCCAGGGAGAGUCUCUGCUCAGCCCUAGUGGAAAGGCCACACCCACCAAGCACAAAGACUGGGUGACCUUGGAGCAGAAGUGGUACAGCUGGGCCCGCCCGAAACCGGAAGCUGAAGCUCUGAGCUGCUCGCCUGAGACCGGAAGCGAAAGCCGGGACGGUGCCGAGGAAGCACCCGGACAAGGACAGCAUCCAUGGAGCUCAAGUUUGAGUUGAAACCAGGCUCAAGGUCCGCCUGUCCUCACUGAUGGUGGAUUUCUGUGUGAGCAGGCUGUGCCCCCCAGAGUUUAUCCAUCCAGAGAGAGUACCAGCCACAUUCCCGCAUCAUCAACUGGAACCUCAGUACUCGGAGCCCACGUCCUCAGAGUACACCGCCUGCUGAGGGACAUCCAGGACCAAGUGGGUCUCUCCCCAUCCCAUCUCUCCUUUCCCUGGGGGCCCCCUUAUUCCUCCACCUGACUUACAUCUAUUACGUGAUUCUUUC
RNAcentral lists this long non-coding RNA (831 nucleotides) under Equus asinus (donkey). RNAcentral describes it as "lncRNA (ENSEASG00005034553.1)". The record is from RNAcentral. Lineage: Eukaryota; Metazoa; Chordata; Mammalia; Perissodactyla; Equidae.